RNAcentral lists this ribosomal RNA (253 nucleotides) under uncultured bacterium. RNAcentral describes it as "partial 16S ribosomal RNA". It matches the Rfam family "Bacterial small subunit ribosomal RNA", at positions 524 to 776 of the family's 1533-position model. The record is from RNAcentral.
UACGUAGGUGGCAAGCGUUGUCCGGAUUUACUGGGCGUAAAGAGCGCGCAGGCGGUCGUUCAAGUCGCGUGUGAAAGCCCCCGGCUCAACUGGGGAGGGUCACGCGAUACUGAUCGACUGGAAGGCAGGAGAGGGUAGUGGAAUUCCCAGUGUAGAGGUGAAAUUCGUAGAUAUUGGGAAGAACACCAGUGGCGAAGGCGGCUAACUGGUCCGGUACUGACGCUGAGGUGCGAAAGCGUGGGGAGCAAACAGG